RNAcentral lists this ribosomal RNA (499 nucleotides) under uncultured bacterium. Its description in RNAcentral is "partial 16S ribosomal RNA". It matches the Rfam family "Bacterial small subunit ribosomal RNA", at positions 28 to 507 of the family's 1533-position model. The record is from RNAcentral.
GACGAACGCUGGCGGCGUGCCUAAUACAUGCAAGUCGAGCGAAGUGUUUCUGGUGCUUGCACUAGAAAAACUUAGCGGCGAACGGGUGAGUAACACGUAAAGAACCUGCCUCAUAGACUGGGACAACUAUUGGAAACGAUAGCUAAUACCGGAUAACAGUAUUUCUCGCAUGAGAGAUAUUUAAAAGUUGGUUAUGCUAACACUAUGAGAUGGCUUUGCGGUGCAUUAGCUAGUUGGGGGGGUAAAGGCCCACCAAGGCGACGAUGCAUAGCCGACCUGAGAGGGUGAUCGGCCACACUGGGACUGAGACACGGCCCAGACUCCUACGGGAGGCAGCAGUAGGGAAUCUUCCGCAAUGGGCGAAAGCCUGACGGAGCAACGCCGCGUGAGUGAAGAAGGCUUUCGGUUCGUAAAGCUCUGUUGUUAGGGAAGAAUGGCUAUGUAGUAACUAUACAUGUAAGAGACGGUACCUAACCAGAAAGCCACGGCUAACUACGUG